This 253-nucleotide ribosomal RNA is filed under the name uncultured bacterium. RNAcentral describes it as "partial 16S ribosomal RNA". It matches the Rfam family "Bacterial small subunit ribosomal RNA", at positions 524 to 776 of the family's 1533-position model. The record is from RNAcentral.
UACGUAGGGUGCGAGCGUUGUCCGGAAUUACUGGGCGUAAAGAGCUCGUAGGUGGUUUGUCGCGUUGUCCGUGAAAACUCACAACUCAAUUGUGGGCGUGCGGGCGAUACGGGCAGACUGGAGUACUGCAGGGGAGACUGGAAUUCCUGGUGUAGCGGUGGAAUGCGCAGAUAUCAGGAGGAACACCGGUGGCGAAGGCGGGUCUCUGGGCAGUAACCGACGCUGAGGAGCGAAAGCGUGGGGAGCGAACAGG